ACGAGGCCUGCCCAUGACCCUUC
RNAcentral lists this microRNA (23 nucleotides) under Sus scrofa (pig). RNAcentral describes it as "ssc-mir299". The record is from RNAcentral. Lineage: Eukaryota; Metazoa; Chordata; Mammalia; Artiodactyla; Suidae.